This 60-nucleotide transfer RNA is filed under the name Typosyllis sp. patternB. RNAcentral's name for it is "tRNA-Met". Lineage: Eukaryota; Metazoa; Annelida; Polychaeta; Phyllodocida; Syllidae. The record is from RNAcentral.
UAUAGAGUAAGUUAACAAAACUAUUGGCCUCAUGAGCCAAAAAUGAUCCGUCCUCCGUAA